Molecule: ribosomal RNA, 468 nt
Filed under: uncultured bacterium
Lineage: Bacteria
Description: partial 16S ribosomal RNA
Rfam family: Bacterial small subunit ribosomal RNA
Source: RNAcentral
GACGAACGCUGGCGGCGUGCUUAACACAUGCAAGUCGAACGGAAAGGCCCUGCUUUUGUGGGGUGCUCGAGUGGCGAACGUGUGAGUAACACGUGAGUAACCUUCCCUUUACUUUGGGAUAACUUCAGGAAACUGGGGCUAAUACCUGAUAGGAGCUCCUGCUGCAUGGUGGGGGUUGGAACGUUUCGGCGGUUGGGGAUGGACUCGCGGCUUAUCAGCUUGUUGGUGGGGUAGUGGCUUACCAAGGCUUUGACGGGUAGCCGGCCUGAGAGGGUGAACGGCCACAUUGGGACUGAGGUACGGCCCAGACUGCAACGGGAGGCAGCAGUGGGGAAUAUUGAACAAUGGGCGGAAGCCUGAUGCAGCAACGCCGCGUGCGGGAUGAAGGCCUUCGGGGUGUAAACCGCUUUCACCUGUGACGAAGCGUGAGUGACGGUAAUGGGUGAAGAAGCACCGGCUAACUACGUG